Molecule: ribosomal RNA, 466 nt
Filed under: uncultured bacterium
Lineage: Bacteria
Description: partial 16S ribosomal RNA
Rfam family: Bacterial small subunit ribosomal RNA
Source: RNAcentral
GACGAACGCUGGCGGCGUGCUUAACACAUGCAAGUCGAACGGAAAGGCCCUGCUUGCAGGGUACUCGAGUGGCGAACGGGUGAGUAACACGUGGGUGAUCUGCCCUGCACUUCGGGAUAAGCUUGGGAAACUGGGUCUAAUACCGGAUAGGAGCCAUCUUUAGUGUGGUGGUUGGAAAGUUUUUUCGGUGUAGGAUGAGCUCGCGGCCUAUCAGCUUGUUGGUGGGGUAAUGGCCUACCAAGGCGGCGACGGGUAGCCGGCCGGAGAGGGUGUACGGCCACAUUGGGACUGAGAUACGGCCCAGACUCCUACGGGAGGCAGCAAUGGGGAAUAUUGCACAAUGGGCGCAAGCCUGAUGCAGCGACGCCGCGUGGGGGAUGAAGGCCUUCGGGUUGUAAACUCCUUUCGCUAGGGACGAAGCUUUGUUGUGACGGUACCUAGAUAAGAAGCACCGGCUAACUACGUG